GUCUACGGCCAUACCACCCUGAACGAGCCUGAUCUCGUCUGAUCUUGGAAGCUAAGCAGGGUCGGACCUGGUUAGUACUUGGUUGGGAGAUCUAUCUGAAAAUAUUUUUUCCAGGAGUUC
Ribosomal RNA from Mustela putorius furo (domestic ferret), 120 nucleotides. The record is from Ensembl. NCBI's taxonomy places the organism in Eukaryota, Metazoa, Chordata, Mammalia, Carnivora, Mustelidae.